GGCGUGUCAGAGCAAUUUCUGCUACAAAUCUCUAUCUCCGUGUGAACCACAUAUAUGUAAAUUCAGAGGAUAUAAAGGAGACUGGAUAUACUUACAUCAUGCCAAAAAAUAUACUGAAGAAGUUCAUCUGCAUUGCUGAUCUGCGGACACAAAUUGCUGGUUACUUAUAUGGUGUAAGUCCACCAGAUAAUCCUCAGGUGAAAGAAAUCCGGUGUAUUGCAAUGCCUCCACAGUGGGGCACACAUCAGCAGGUGCAUCUACCUUCUGGUCUUCCUGAGCACGAUUUUCUCACUGACUUGGAGCCGUUGGGAUGGAUGCAUACACAACCAAAUGAGCUUCCUCAGUUAUCGCCACAGGAUGUGACUUCACAUGCUCGGGUCCUGGAGAACAACAAACACUGGGACGGAGAGAAGUGUAUUAUAUUGACAUGCAGUUUCACGCCAGGGUCUUGUUCAUUAACUGCGUAUAAGUUGACGCCAACCGGGUACGAAUGGGGACGUGCUAACAAGGAUACAGGAAGUAACCCUCAUGGUUACCUGCCAACCCAUUACGAGAAGGUCCAGAUGUUGUUGAGUGACAGAUUCCUUGGCUUUUAUAUGGUACCUGAUAAUGGACCUUGGAAUUACAACUUCAUGGGAGUGAAACAC
This 647-nucleotide unclassified non-coding RNA is filed under the name Hevea brasiliensis (rubber tree). Lineage: Eukaryota; Viridiplantae; Streptophyta; Magnoliopsida; Malpighiales; Euphorbiaceae. The record is from RNAcentral.